Long non-coding RNA from Crotalus tigris (Tiger rattlesnake), 714 nucleotides. RefSeq lists it as uncharacterized. Lineage: Eukaryota; Metazoa; Chordata; Lepidosauria; Squamata; Viperidae. The transcript has 3 exons. The record is from RefSeq and is a predicted model, not a curated record.
UGCUUACCCUACAAGGUUCCAUCCCAAAAAGGUGCUGGAACUCCGUUCUGGGCGUUCUGUGAGAAAAAAAGCCCUGGGUCUUCCUAGUAGAGAUAUUCCUUAUCUAAAUUUCUUGACUCCUUCUCUUGCUUCCUUGCUUUCUGGUAGGGAGAGUCAGAAAUGAUGAUCAUCUGACUGUGGCAGAGCAACCACAGCAGCAUGGCGACACUGAAGCACCACCAUUUUACCUAAUUUCAAUCCCACGAGAGUCAUGAGUUCUGGAUUUUGAACACAUUCUGCAAGUUAGACUACUUGAGAGUGAAACAUAAAAUAUGCCUAUAAAGCAUAUUGCCUGGUUCCCCUGGAGGAUUACUGUGAUUCACCAUAGACUUGAUGGCUACAGAGGAAAGACUGCUCUUGUUUGCUGGGGAACAUUCCUACAGACAGACAGAAAGCACCACAUUUUCAAAGCAUGUCAAUAUGUCUGGAGGACGUGUUGAAAGAAAAGUCUUCAUCGUGGUUCAUCCAAGCUGGGAAUAAACAUGGCAACUGCUUUGGGAAGAAGGUUGUAGUUUAUUGAAGAGGAGAGCCAGGAAGAAGGUUCUGGCAGCAAGAGAAGUGAAUAAAGGGCCUAGCACAUGUAGGGAAUAGGUUUUUUACACCCUCUGGAGCCUUUUGUUUGGAGUUAUUUCCUGUUCCUGUUUUAAGGCUAUUUCCUGUGUCAUGUAUUCUGAC